UGCCGUACAAGAGAUGCUGCGAGGAGCCCCGCUCCUAGGGCUCUGCGCUUGCCGCUGCAAUUAUACAAGCUGCGCGUACAACCAGCCACCUCUCAGAGAAGAGAAGAGGAAGGAUUGAAGACAUUCUCCGUCAUUUGAGAAAACCACGGCCCCCCCCAGGGCAGCCCGCCGGGGGCGCGGGCAGGGCGGGCGGGCAGCGCCGCGUUUCUCAGGCUGCUGUUCUGCCUUCGGUGCUGAAAUCAUCCUUAAAGGAGAAAGAUGCUGGAGCUGGGAUAUAAAGUAGUCUUCUAGGAGUGCUGCCAGAACCGAUCUGUUUUACUCUGCUGCUGCUGCUGCUGUUGCUGUUCUGCUGUGUCAUGGGAAGAGAGUUACCUAGCCACACCAACCCUCGGAAACGGCACCUCAGGCAGAGCCUCUUGCUGCAAACCUGAGCCGUGCUUUACAAAGCUGAAGGCGGUCCCAAGUGGCAUAUGCUCCCGCGAUACCACAUGGUCUGAAUGGACUCCUGGAAAUAUAGGAGUGAUCUGGCACUGGUACUCUUUGAAAACAAGGCGUUAGUUGUUCUACCAUGAGAUGCUGCAUAUCGACCUCUUCUGGAAGGAAGAAGUUCACAUAUAAGUUAAGAUUCAUUAACCUCUGAUGAUUAAUCUAUAAAGUUGGAGCCAGCCUCCCUAUCAAGAAGCACGUUAUUAUGUCUGUUACAGCUGCUAGACACCAACCAAGAUCGGGGGCCUUGUUUUCUGGAUAUUAUUAUAUAGUCAUACCCUAGGAGAUAACCUCUGCCUUGAAGGGCUUACAAAGCAAAAAGACAAAAGAGUGAGCAAUAUAACUCUCAGGCUGAGCAAACAUGGUGACCUUUUGCAAAUGUCAAGUUAAUACCAUGAUCUGGAAGUGGAAGGGGUUUAUCAGAGGGCGGGUGGGUCAGCAGGGAUGGAAGGCACUCAGGUUUCGGGGAGUGAGGUGAAGGAAAAGCCAUAGCAGAAGCUGCAUGGUAUGAGAUGGAGAGGAAGUGCACGUAGAACGUUCUAUAGUCAAUCAGCACAUCCAGGAAGACAAACGGGGGGAAAAAGGAGUCUGAUGACCCUGUCCACAGCUCACAGCAUCACCAGCUCCUACCUGUAGCCUCUUCCCCAAAGCCACACAGCUUGGAGAGAGGAGAUGGAGAAGGCAGGGGGUGGACAGCAUGGUUCCUCCUACGUGCUGGUUCUGCACAGGCGGCUGGAGGUGUGAUAACCCUGUUUUGGGGGUUGUUUCUCUCUGCAGCUCGGCCUCCUGCAGCUGUUUUUGUUGCAGCUGAGCCUCAGGGCUGGAGUGAGACAUAGUUCAGCGCUCUAAGUCCAGGGCAGCACAUAAUUGAAUAUUAACAGGAACAGCUCCAGGAGCUACUGGGACUCAGGAAGUCACAAUUCCUCCUCUUGCUGCUCCUUUGCCUUAGCGGGAGGUGAUUGCUGGAGGCCUUAAUGGAUGUGAGACAUAAUAUACUUCCUCCACAUUAGCUCCAGUUUGCAAACUGAGGCUUUAACCACAUCCUACCCUCUCUGAUCAUUUCCUCAUGCACCUUUUCAGCAACAUGUGAAGUGCACUAGCUACAGCCACCCCAGCGUCCCACAGGCAACCAAGCGGAGAAGUGCAGAGACCAUACGAACAUUGAUUUUACACCUCAUUUCUCCAGUGAACAAAGGGGUUCUCACCUUUAAGGCUUAGCAAAAUUUGCCAAACAUAAAUUAUUGAACUCUUUGCCUCUGUUUCAUCCUUCUGAGAAUGGGAAAUAUUUAUUUGCUGAUUGGCGAUGUUAUGAGCACCAUACAAGGUCCAUAAAGUGAUUUUUAAGUUGAAAACCUUUGGUAUCAUGCCUUUGUUAAAUAUUUGAGGUAAAAUAUAGCAAGAAAUUAAUAGGUACUAGUGACUCUCCAUACUGCCUGUCAAGACCAUUUAGAGCUGCCCGGUGCUCAGUUGCUCCCUUUCCAAAAGUAUGGAUAGACAUCAUUCUCUCCCCAAAACCAUGCUGCAGAUCUACAUGGAGAAGUUCAGUCUACAGUCAUGUUACUUGUACAGAAUAAAUAAAGUGUUUCACAAGAAGAAAGUUGCCCACAGAAACCUGUCCAUGCCAUCUGAUCAUUCAAAACCUGGUGCUAGUCUAAGAAGGGAGAAGGUAACACCUCCAGAGCACCAGAAAAUUCCCAAAGACCCUAAGGGCUAUGCUGAGCAACAGUCAAAAUCUUAAAUUACUUCAUUUUCUCCUUUUUUUUCCCUCUUCUUUCUCACUUUAAAAUUCAGUGUCUUUCACCUUGGUGUAUCAUUUUCCUUCAGGUCCACCAGCACUUGUUCAUUGCAUGACCCCUUUAUUUUUCAAAACACCCCUCCUCAAUCUCCUUUUUUCAUUAGUUGAUGUACAAUAGACUCUACCAUGAGACUGCUUUUGGUUUUGUUUGAUUUCUCUCUUUCUUUAUCUCUACCCAGAGACAUCCAGCAGAUUGUUUCAUAAUCUUCCCAGAGUUCAGAGAAAGUAUAUUCCUUCCAGAUAGCCUGUGAACUCCCUCAUUCCUUUUCCUCCUCACCUGCCUUUCUUGAACAACAGUUCUGGCAAACUUUAUCCACAUAUGAUUCCUUAUUAGGGAAAAGUAAGAAAUGUUCUGUUUCCCAGCCACACAAGGUGUGUUUUUGCACAACUGCUUUGCAUGCCAGCGCACUCACUGAUUUUUCUAGCCCUUGGAAGUAAGGACCGCAGCACCACAUUCAUCCCCCAUCAACCACACAUCGUUUGUGGGAGAUCUGCAGAAAAAGAGGCUCUUCGUUCCGCUUAUAUGGAGCUACAUUGGUACAUGAAAAAAGAAAAUUGGUGAAAGUAUGCAACACACAGAAGGAAGGAUUGAUUUUGUUAUUGGUCGGGGAAAGCUCCGUGCUUCAGUUGGUAUCACUGACUUCCUCCUGUUGUUGGAUAAUUAAUUAACACCAACUGUGUGUUUGAAGCUAUGCUAAAACGCAAACACAAGAUUUGCAUCAAUGUUUUGCAUUCUGGGUGGGCACGGGGAAGAUGGAAGCAUUGGCACACCUAGAGAAGACAGUCAUGGAAAAGGAGAACUGGAGAGAGACUGGAGAAUCCCCCCUCAGUGCCCUGAGCAGAAUCCAACCAUCCCCAAGAGAGGCUAAUCAACUUCCAGAGAGGAAGACUUAAGAAUAAAUUCAGAAAUUUUAAUUCAAAGAAAUUUGCUUCAAAUUAGAAAGCUUUUAGGUUUGAUUUGUGGGGUUUUCUUCUUUCCCAGAUACCUAGUAACAACGAUUUUUUCAGGAAAUCAAGCCAAUUUAGUUCUGUUGUACCCAGAACAAUUGUCAAUAUCCUUUUUGUAAGUCUCCUCUGUCUUAGAAGAUAGUUUUCAUAUUCUCAUGCAUUUUUUUUUCCCUUCUGAAAAAAAGCAAAGAAAAUCAAGUUUUUUGAACCAUUUAUAAUACUUGUUGCUCUCUCUACAAUUUGUCUCCAUCUUUCUUAUACUUUCUCCUAGCACAGCAUCCAAACCCACACCUGAUAUUCUGACUGAGCCCUCAUUAGAGUGGAAUAAUUGCUUCUGAUGUUUCACCUAUUACACUCUUCUUCAUAUGCCCCAGAAUAAGUUUUGUCUUUUUCUGCAACAGCUCUCUACUACUCAGCAUCUUGUUCACGGCUCUUUUUCUGUUGAAUGGCUGCUUGACCAGUGAUUUGCCACUUGACAUUGACAUAUUUGUUGCUUAUGACCUUACUGAACCAAAUCUGGUUGAUUUUAUAUUACUACUUUAAUUUCCCAGCAACAUUUUGGAAUGCAUCCUCCAGAGUAACUGUAUAUUCUUUAUUUCAUCAUCCAAAUAACUAAUGAAAAUAUUAGAAUCAAGUCCAGGACCAAACCCUGUGGGAGCCCAUUUGGAAAUCCCUCUAAAUUUGAAGGAAAGGAAUUAGUAAUUCUUGUGUGAAUACAAUUUUUUUUCUGUCAAGUACGUCUUAAGAUGGUUUCACAGAGAUCAUAGUUCCUGGUCAGCUUAUGGGAACGUUAUGUGAAAUGGUGUUAAAAACCCUGCUUAUUUCAAAAUAUAUGACAUAUAGUCCUUCUCCCUUAUUCUACAACACAGUUGUUGGGUUCAAAGAUGGAAAUUAGCUGGUUUUAACAUCGCUCAGUUAUGACAAAUCCAAUCCGGUUGAUUGUAUGGUUCUAUUUUCAGCUUAAUAACUGAUUAUUUAACAGUUUAUUGUAUUAUUUUUCUGCAUUGCAUGCUAAACUGACUGCUGUAUAAUUCCCUAAGUCCUUCUUCCCCCCUCUUUAAAGACAGGGGCUGUGUUUGCCCUUCUCUCCUCCUCUGGGAUCUCCCCCGUUAUCCAUGAGCUCUCCCAGAUAAUUACUAAUGAGUCAGAGAUUGCUCUGGCUAGUGCCUGAAGUGCUCUAGGGGGAACUUCAUCCAGUCCUGCUGACUUGAAUUUGUCUAACUUCUCUGAAUGAUUUUAUCUGUUUCUUUUCCUAUCUUGGAUUGUCUUACCCCCUUGGCAAAAGUAGUUCUGAUAAAUAUCAGUUUAUCAUCCUUUUUUUUUUUUUUUUUUUUUUUUCUCCAGGGGUGCAUCAUAAGAAAUAAUGAAUGGUCCAGUCUUUUUUCUGUUGUUAUUUCUGUUGUCUCAUUUUCUGUUAUUUCAGUUAUGUAUAAUUUCCAUUGUCGCCUUCUUAUUUCUGUUACUUUUACAGAUCAUUCUUUUAUCACCCUCUGUAUCUCUUCCUAAUUGAAACUCAUUUUGUCCCUGGUCUUUCUCAUUUUAGUUCUCCAUAGUCACACUUUUCCUUUACAGACAUCAUUUUCCUAGUCUUGUUUCCAGUCUUUGUACAGCUUAAUGUCUUCUCCUUUUUCUGCUUCCCCCACUCUUUCCUUUCUUCAGAGGAAGACACUCCAUGAUUUUAUUAUCUCCUUCAUUUUAAUUAACUUCCACCUUCCUUUUCUCAGCAAUCUGCUCCCCAUUAUUCGUCGGAGUCUAAUCUCAGAGAGCUACAACAGUUUCCUCCUCCCACAGGAACUUUGCUCCAUCAUCUGAACUUUUGCUGCCAGCCUCCCCCAAACAUAGUUUAAAGCCCUUCUGCUGGGCUUGCAAGGCAGUUAUCGUGCAGUCUCUCUUUGCAGAGCACCCUUGGGUAAUUUUCCAGUUAGGAAACCAUUAUUUAUUUUUCUCUAUUAUUGCAGAUCUAAUUAAUAAUCAAUUUUUCUCUUAAACCCAUCCUCUCUUCUGCAAUAUGCUAGUCCUUGCCCUGACUUUUAUUCCCAGCCAGAAGGAUGAAAAAGGAUAUUUUCCAUAUCCUCAUCUCCUUCCCCCUUGUCCCCAGUGCCUGGAUUUAAAGAGUAGAUAGGAGGCUUUAUUUAAAACACUUUUUAGGGUGGUAGAUUAAUGUGAUGGUUCCUGUAAGCAUUACAGAGGUCACCUGCAUGCUGAGGCACCCUUCUCCAGCUCGGUGGGAGACCGUAAAGGCAUUUAGGAAAUACAGUUAAGAGGUCUGAGUGUACUGUGCAUUGAAACAUGAGAUUUAGAACGUCCAGCACACAGAUGCUAUUUUUUUUCCACCAAAAAUUCUGUUGAUAUCUUUUAGGAAAUCAGACAACAAACCCAGACCCGUAUGAAAUGCAUUAAAUUAAGCUCCCAGUCCUUUGGGUCACUGUUCUUCAUAAACUGAUUACAUCUCUAAACAAAGAACAACAUAAACCUUCAAGGUCGUGUAAGCAGCAGACCUGCAAUUCCACCUACGUCCACCUACCUCUUCUUUCUCGUUAACUUGACACAGGUGGCUCUUGCUCAAGGCUUUCCUUAGGCUCUCCAGACUCGCUGAGCAGGUACAAGGACUUAGGUAGCAUUUAAGCCAGAUGACUAUAGCUGUCAAUCUGUGUUUCGGCAAAAAACAGUAAAUAAGUAGCUCUCGGUAUCUGAGCAGUCUGUUCCUCAUCACUGGGGCUACUGGUGAAGCUGAGCAUUUUGCCACCUCAGAGCCAGCACGUACCUACAGUGCUGAGCCCACGGAGAACACUUGGUGGGACCCAGAAGAGUAGAGGUUAUUCAGGCUUAAGAUGAUAAGGCUUACUGCUGUCUUUAACUACCCACAGGAGAUUAUUGAAAAGACCACGUCAGAUUUUUCUUGAAGGUGGGCAGUGAUAGAACAAAAGACAAUCAACCCAAGUUGUGGCGGAGGACGUUCCAACCAGAUAUUAGAUGGAAAAAUAAAUGACAAUGAAGGCGAUCAACUACUGGAACAGGAGUCCAGAGAGCUUUUGGGAUCUCCAUCCUUGCAAAUCUCAAUGGGGCAAGGUUCUGAGAAAUCUGACUGCAGGGUGAGGUUAGCCCUGCUGUGGGAGGGGAGUCUGGAGAUCCCUGGAGGUCUUUCCCUCGCCAAGUUGUUGGGUGAUGCUGGGAUCCUGUGCAGAUGGGUCUGGGGUGGUUGUAUUGCUGUCCUGCUCGUUUGAGAUGAUGGCCAACACAAUUGCUAGACUGCCCGAGUGUGUUGGUUCUGUGCACGUAAAUUUGUAAGACUACUCUGUGCUGAAUCCAGAAGACUAUAUUUCAUAUAAUAAGAAAAUCCCAGGUAAUUAUGAAUUAAUUGGUUUAACACUGAUCCCAAACAAUAAAAAAAAAAAAUCUGAUAUAGGCUAUGGUUAGUAAUGAAUUAAAGGAUGCUAACCUGAUUGAUAUGCCUGAGCAGUUUUAUGGAAAGCCUGUCAUGUCAAACAAAUGGAUGUUUUUUUAAUGAGAAUGUAAGUUUGGUUAAUAAAGAUAAGGCUGUU
Molecule: long non-coding RNA, 6771 nt
Organism: Tyto alba (common barn owl)
Lineage: Eukaryota; Metazoa; Chordata; Aves; Strigiformes; Tytonidae
Exons: 3
Source: RefSeq, a predicted model, not a curated record